AAGGACAUGGACUUGUCACAGCAAUUCCCAGCAGCUGAAAUGUCACUUCCCAGCAGCUGACGGGGGACAGUGACCGCUCGUGAACUCCCUCCCCUUUCCCUGCAACAUGAGUUGGCUCUUCCCACAAACACCUCACCCCCAGUGUGCCCAACACAUUGAUCCCUCAUGGGCGGUGGACAACGAUGGCCUGGGACACACAGGCUGGGAUCCAGGGGCACCUGACCCUGCAGGGCUGUCUUUGGAGCCUGGAGAUGCAUCCACAACCCCUUGACAGCUGAACUUGGGAAGCUCAGAUUUUGCAAUGACUCUGCCGUGUGAAAUACAGGAAAAAACCCAACAUUCCUGUUCUUCAAAGAGCAUUCACCUAGCGGGGUCUCCCCCAGAAGAUGGCAAUGAAGAGCUAACGCUGAAAUUCCCCUCCAGCGACUUUCUUCAGUGAAGGGCCAGACUGAAAAGCCCUCCCUGCUCUGCAGUCUGCUGUGAUGGACAAGAAACCAGAAACCAGUCACUGCUCUCAAAAUCAUAUUGAAAGGACUCGAGGAAGUGGAAUGAAGCUGAGUUGGGGGAGGUUUAAGUUGGAUAUCAGGAAAAGUUCUUCACCCAGAGGGUGGCUGGGCUCUAAACAGGCUCCCCAGAAAAAGACAGCUAUUUAAAAUCCCAUAUUUGUAUAAUUUAAUUGGAAGAAUGUGUGUAUUUGCUUUAUAAUAUGGAAGAGCAUUUGUUUCUAUUAUUUGGAUUUUGAUUUUGUUCUCUAAAAAAAAACCAAAAAAACCUUAAAUAACUCAAGUGAUGAACUCGAGUUAUUUAAGAAAAGAAGCAGACACUGUGAAUAUUAAACGUAUUAAUGAGUUUUUAGAGGAACAGAGCUCUGAACUGAGAUUUUGGGUUAACCUCCGGAAAAGGAGGUUAAAAUAGGAUGAAAUUAUUCUUUCUUCCUGUUGUUCCACUUUGUACAUGUGCCACCUGCCCAAAGUGGAACAAAACAGAUCCAGGCUCAAAUAUCAGGGUUUGGACAAGAUCUUUAACUAAUUAAUUUUAUUUGUUCUUAUGAUUGAUGGUAAAUUUCCUUUAAAUAUCUUAAAUACUAUAAUUUAACUGUAAUUUUAAUUCCAAUAUACUGUUAUUGACUCUAAGCCUUGUUUUGGCCACUCAUGAUCACAAAAGUGAUACAUUUCACCUGUUUCUUGGCAGUUAAACACAUGCAAUUAAAGAAUGAAUAUUGCAAAUUAAUUAAUAUUGCAUCCUGAAAGCAUUUUGACCACUAAAUGUCUUACUCAGUUCCCUUUUCCUGGGGUACUGCAAAGGACAUUGUGUGGAGCCCCCAAAAUUAUGUUCUCCAAGUGUAAAUAUAUAUUUGUAUGUCUGUGCAUGUAAUCUAUAAAUAUUCCAAGAGAAACAAAGGUCAAAUUUACUCAACUGCUUUCUAUUUUAUUUUUGCUGGAGAACAUGCAAACAGAGAAGAAUAAUCCAGAUAUUCUAACCUGUGAAUUGCUCAGGAAUAUUAAGUCAGCAUAUUAAUUUCAGUAAUGGUUUAUUUAAGCAUAGACAAAUGCUAUAAUGAUAUUUCUUGCUCUCCUGUCUCUCUACAGCCCUCCUAGCAAAUCAACACUAACAUAGUUAUAUUUGUAUAUAAAAUAUUGUUAAAAUGAAUAUGUGGAAGGACUCUUCUAAAUCCCAGUUGAUUUUUUUAUCACUCAGCACAUCACAGACUUUGUUCCCAGUGAACAUCCAGGCCUCAGUUCCUUUGCCCACACUUAGACAAGUGGUUCCUGAGAUGUCCCUGUGUCCCAAGCCUCCUCCCUGGCUUGCUCUCCUCUCUCCUGACCCUUUUCCACCAGUCCCAGGAGGGGAUCUCAGCCAGCCCAGAGCUCCCUAAAUCACUCUAGGAGAUGGUGUGAAGGCCACUGGGUUAAACCCUGUGUGUCCAUAUGUCACCUCAGCUUACCUGUCACAACGGGAUGUCCCCAGACACUUGAAGCAAUGAGGAUCCUUCAACUUCUCUCUGCCAUCCUCUUCCUCCAGCGUCCUCUGUGCAAAUGACAGGAAGGAUGACAGACCUUUGGUACGAUUGCCCAACAUUUGUCCUCACAGCACCUCCACACCUGGCAAAAAAUGGCCUGAAAUCCCUGUGGGAACAGUCCUGCUGUCCAUCCACUGACCUUGGACAGCCCUGUGGAAAAGUGCCCAGACCUGACUUGGCCAAACCCUGCCUGGAAAUCCCAUCUGCUGUUGGGUAUUUUGAGCAGUGAUGUGGGGUGAGCUGCCCCUGCUCCCCUUGGGAAUUGAACCUCUCCCACAGGAAAAACCCCCCAGCUCAGGGAAGGCACAAGCAAACAGAGUUUGCCAGUUGCUUUCAAAACACUGGAAAUAAAAGGAUAAAAGUGCUGCUUGGAGAGCCAAAGAGCAAAAUUGAGCUUUACAUCUCUAAAGCAUCAGCAAUAUUUAUCAGUGCUUCCCUGACUGUGUUGUAAAGCUGUGAUUUAUCCCAUGUGGAGUUGGUCCAUCUGGGAACAAACCCUAGAUUUUGCUAACCUGAAGGUGAACAUCUGAGCUGCCUUUUGGUUCAGGACGCUCAAGCAGCUGUAAAGCUGAUAAACAUUGAAGAAGAUAUUCCCAGCACUGAGAUUUCUUAAAAUCCACAUCGAUUUCCACAGCCUGUUCCUGUCCUCUUCCUUACAGAGUUUUGAGAUCCCUUCUAGGCAUCAAGGUUUCUGGUUGUCCUGGAUCCUUGGUCCAGAAGAUCUGUAGAGCACCACAGCAGUCACCAGGGGAAGCUGGCGACAUUACCAGUGAUUAUUUUCCAGGGAAGGAGAGGAAAUUUUUCCCUGUGAGGCUGGUAAGGCUCUGGCACAGGCUGCCCAGAGAAGCUGUGGCUGCCCCAUCCCUGGAGGUGUUCAAGGCUGGGACAGACCAGGCUCUGAGCAAUGUGGCACAGUGGAAGGUGUCCCUGCCCAUGGUAGGGUGUGGAAUUGGAUGAUCUUUAAGGUCCCUUCCAGCCCACACCAUUCUGGGAUUCUACACCUGAGGAGCCCUCAGGAUCAGAAGGAGCACUCACUGCACGUUCCCAGAAAUUUUACAUCACCCUGUGGUCUAAUGUGCCUUACACAAACUUGGGUGAUCUCAGAUGGAUUGCACAAAGAUCAGGGGCUCUGUGGUGAAAGCAAUCUCCAAGAGAACCUUCCUUUCUCAUUGGAAGAAACCAAAUAAAGGCUGGAAAAGGCUUUUAUUUCAUUGGCCAAUGACUGCAUUGGGUCAUCCCCAACCCUUUAUAGGCGUGUUUGGGUCUGGUGCAUCCACGGGAGAACAGAAGCGGCAGUGAUCCUCCACCUCCUCCUCGGUGCAGGUAAAGAAUUCACACCCCAGCUGUGGCCAUGAGGAUCCUUCACGUGCUCCUGGUUGUCCUCUUGCUGAUGCUCCAAGGGGCUGCAGGACAACAAGUGUUUCCUAGGCUAGAUAAUUCCUGUUUGGCCCAAAACGGAAUCUGCUUCCCACGGAUUUGUCGUCGUCCGUAUUACUGGAUUGGAGAGUGUAGUAAUGGAUAUUCUUGCUGCAGAAGGGGAUGGAGUAGCUGAAAAAUCCCUGGAUUUGCCUUGGAAAUCCUUCCUGCUUCUGCUGAAAGGCUCCUGGGAAUCACCCUGAAUCCCUCGCUCCUGGUGGCACCAGUUCCUGCUGCAAUGAAAAGCUGUCAUAAUCUUCCCUUGCAGUGAAGAAAAUAUCACAAACAUGAACCAGACAACACUGUGGAAACUAUUUCUUUCCUCUCCUUUAAUAAAAUCAGUUAUGGUGGCAUUCA
Long non-coding RNA from Parus major (Great Tit), 3793 nucleotides. RefSeq lists it as uncharacterized. Lineage: Eukaryota; Metazoa; Chordata; Aves; Passeriformes; Paridae. The record is from RefSeq and is a predicted model, not a curated record. The transcript has 6 exons.